CAGCAGCCACGGGAAUACGUAGGUGGCAAGCGUUGUCCGGAAUUAUUGGGCGUAAAGGGCUCGCAGGCGGUUUCUUAAGUCUGAUGUGAAAGCCCCCGGCUCAACCGGGGAGGGUCAUUGGAAACUGGGAAACUUGAGUGCAGAAGAGGAGAGUGGGAUUCCACGUGUAGCGGUGAAAUGCGUAGAGAUGUGGAGGAACACCAGUGGCGAAGGCGACUCUCUGGUCUGUAACUGACGCUGAGGAGCGAAAGCGUGGGGAGCGAACAGGAUUAGAUACCCCUGUAGUCCCUGUCUCUUAUAC
RNAcentral lists this ribosomal RNA (301 nucleotides) under uncultured bacterium. Its description in RNAcentral is "partial 16S ribosomal RNA". It matches the Rfam family "Bacterial small subunit ribosomal RNA", at positions 509 to 807 of the family's 1533-position model. The record is from RNAcentral.